CGGGUGAGUAAUACAUCGGAACGUGUCUUCUAGUGGGGGAUAACUGCCCGAAAGGGCAGCUAAUACCGCAUGAGACCUGAGGGUGAAAGCGGGGGAUCGCAAGACCUCGCGCUGGAAGAGCGGCCGAUGUCCGAUUAGCUAGUUGGUGAGGUAAAGGCUCACCAAGGCGACGAUCGGUAGCUGGUCUGAGAGGACGACCAGCCACACUGGGGCUGAGACACGGCCCAG
This 228-nucleotide ribosomal RNA is filed under the name uncultured bacterium. RNAcentral describes it as "partial 16S ribosomal RNA". It matches the Rfam family "Bacterial small subunit ribosomal RNA", at positions 103 to 334 of the family's 1533-position model. The record is from RNAcentral.